RNAcentral lists this long non-coding RNA (234 nucleotides) under Elaeis guineensis (African oil palm). RNAcentral's name for it is "long non-coding RNA (EGUI_LNC027855)". The record is from RNAcentral. Lineage: Eukaryota; Viridiplantae; Streptophyta; Magnoliopsida; Arecales; Arecaceae.
AUCUCCAGACCGAUCAAAGGUCGAGUUUCAAUACAAGCCGAUCAAAAGUUUUGAACAUCUCAAGGCCGAUCAAAUGCCAAGUUUCAAUAUAAGUCAAUCAAAGACUUUUAAUAUCUCCAGGCUGAUCAAAGGUCGAGUUUCAAUAUAAAUCAAUCAAAAAUUUUUAAUAUCUCAAGAUCGAUCAAAGAUCGAGUUUUAAUAUAAGUCGAUCAAAGAAUUUUAAUAUCUCCAGGC